AACACUGUUAACCUGCGGUACCUGCGGAAGGAUCAUUAUAGUAUAUGGAAUCUCCAUUCUAUAAACCCACUCUGCGUAUCUUGUAACUGUUGCUUCCAUGGGACUUGGUUCCGCCACACCGGCUUCACGGCCGGUGAGCGCCCAUGGAAGGAGAAACAAAACUCUUCUUUGAAAUGUAGUCAGUCUGAACAAGUUUUUAUAAACGUUAAAACUUUCAGCAACGGAUCUCAGAUCGGAAGA
RNAcentral lists this unclassified non-coding RNA (240 nucleotides) under soil metagenome. RNAcentral's name for it is "partial contains 5.8S ribosomal RNA, internal transcribed spacer 2, and large subunit ribosomal RNA". The record is from RNAcentral.